GAGUUUGAUCCUGGCUCAGGACGAACGCUGGCGGCAGGCUUAACACAUGCAAGUCGAACGAACUCUUCGGAGUGAGUGGCAGACGGGUGCGUAACACGUGGGAACCUACCUUAAGGUACGGAACAACACCGAGAAAUAGGUGCUAAUACCGUAUGUGCCCUUCGGGGGAAAGAUUUAUCGCCUUAAGAUGGGCCCGCGGCAGAUUAGAUAGUUGGUGGGGUAAAAGCCUACCAAGUCUACGAUCUGUAGCUGGUCUGAGAGGAUGAUCAGCCACACUGGAACUGAGACACGGUCCAGACUCCUACGGGAGGCAGCAGUGGGGAAUAUUGGGCAAUGGGCGAAAGCCUGACCCAGCCAUGCCGCGUGAGUGAUGAAGGCCUUAGGGUUGUAAAACUCUUUCGCUAGUGAAGAUAAUGACGGUAACUAGUAAAGAAGCCCCGGCUAAUUUCGUGCCAGCAGCCGCGGUAAUACGAAAGGGGCUAGCGUUGUUCGGAAUUACUGGGCGUAAAGCGCGCGUAGGCGGGCUAUCAAGUUGGGGGUGAAAUCCCGGGGCUCAACCCCGGAACUGCCUCCAAGACUGUUAGCCUAGAGGAUGUGAGAGGAUAGUGGAAUUCCGAGUGUAGAGGUGAAAUUCGUAGAUAUUCGGAAGAA
Molecule: ribosomal RNA, 651 nt
Filed under: uncultured bacterium
Lineage: Bacteria
Description: bacterial SSU rRNA
Rfam family: Bacterial small subunit ribosomal RNA
Source: RNAcentral